AUCUUUUUUUAUUUAUUAUAUAAAAAUUUUAUAACAUUCAAGAGUGGGUUUUAAAUAUAAGUUGAUCGCAAAACCUUGCUUAACGCUCGGUUCGCUAAACCAGUAAUGAUCCUUCCGCAGGUUCACCUACGGAAA
RNAcentral lists this unclassified non-coding RNA (135 nucleotides) under uncultured fungus. RNAcentral describes it as "sequence contains ITS1". The record is from RNAcentral. Lineage: Eukaryota; Fungi.